RNAcentral lists this ribosomal RNA (546 nucleotides) under Triticum aestivum (bread wheat). RNAcentral describes it as "partial small subunit ribosomal RNA". Lineage: Eukaryota; Viridiplantae; Streptophyta; Magnoliopsida; Poales; Poaceae. The record is from RNAcentral.
AUGGGCUCUGUGUCCUUGCAAAGUACUUGGGGUCAUCUCACAAUCUUGGAUAUGCCGAUUCUGAAGAUGGAAAUCAAGCAUUCCUUGAUUCUGUUACUUGCAAUACUAGCAUUUAGUUCUGGGUGUAGCCAAAUUGUUGAAUCAGAUAUCUCUAAUGUUUUGUCGCCGAGAGCAUCGUCAGCAAACUUGUGCAGAUUCAGUGAGUCUUUGAACAUGUCAUCCGUUGGGUUCCUUCCAGUAAACAUCUCAAGCAACAAUAUGCCAAGACUAAACACAUCACCAGCAGUCGAGACAGCAGAGCCUUCCCCGUACUCUGCAAUAUAUUUGAAACAAGAAUUGAUGACAAAGUACAUCAAUGAUGUGGAGCAAAAAGAGUACAAGAAUUUCAGUUACCUGGAGCAACAUAUCCAAUGCUACCUCUUAUCCCAAUUGUGCUAUUUGAAUUAUUUUGAUUGCCAAUUCUGCUUUCGCCAAGUACUUUUGAGAUGCCAAAAUCUCCAACACGGGCGCUCAUGUCCUCUGCAAGAAGAAUAUUCCUUGGCUUGA